UGCCCCAUGGCUGAGUUAGUUACAGCGUCCGACUGUUAAUCGGAAGGUCGAGAGUUCGAGCCUCUCUGGGGCAG
RNAcentral lists this transfer RNA (74 nucleotides) under Armillaria ostoyae. It matches the Rfam family "tRNA". From Rfam's summary of the family: Transfer RNA (tRNA) molecules are approximately 80 nucleotides in length. Their secondary structure includes four short double-helical elements and three loops (D, anti-codon, and T loops). Further hydrogen bonds mediate the characteristic L-shaped molecular structure. tRNAs have two regions of fundamental functional importance: the anti-codon, which is responsible for specific mRNA codon recognition, and the 3' end, to which the tRNAs corresponding amino acid is attached (by aminoacyl-tRNA synthetases). tRNAs cope with the degeneracy of the genetic code in two manners: having more than one tRNA (with a specific anti-codon) for a particular amino acid; and 'wobble' base-pairing, i.e. permitting non-standard base-pairing at the 3rd anti-codon position. Lineage: Eukaryota; Fungi; Basidiomycota; Agaricomycetes; Agaricales; Physalacriaceae. The record is from RNAcentral.